Molecule: transfer RNA, 38 nt
Filed under: Dypsis lutescens (areca palm)
Lineage: Eukaryota; Viridiplantae; Streptophyta; Magnoliopsida; Arecales; Arecaceae
Description: partial transfer RNA-Phe
Source: RNAcentral
CACGGGAAAUGGUCGGGAUAGCUCAGUUGUUAGAGCAG